CUGGCUGCCCCGCCUCAACUCUUCCUCCCUUCCGCCCCGGCCCGGCGCCUCAGUGCGCGUGCGCCGUGGCCCCGCGUCUCCCUAGCGGCAGCGAAGGAGUUUGGAAGUUCAAAAUGGCCGCCGCGGCGGAGCCCGAGCUGCGAGCGCCCGAAGUUGAGGAGGCUGAUAUGUCUGAGAAAAGUGUAAAUGAAGAAAAUGGGGAAAUAUCAGAGGGAGACCAACCUCAGAACAAGCACAGCCGACACAAAAAAAAGAAACACAAACAUCGAAGUAAACACAAGAAACAUAAACAUUCUUCAGAAGAAGAUAAGGACAAAAAACAUAAACACAGACACAAACAUAAGAAGCAUAAACGGAAAGAGGUAGCUGAUACCUCUGACAAAGAAGAUGGACCAGCUAAAAGAACUAAAAUUGAUUUUUUAGCUCCUCUGGAAGACUUGGAGAAACAAAGAGCAUUGUUGAAAGCUGAACUUGAAAAUGAAUUAAUGGAAGGAAAAGUCCAAUCUGGGAUGGGAUUAAUAUUGCAAGGUUAUGAGUCAGGCUCUGAAGAAGAGGGGGAGAUUAAUGAAAAAGUACGAAAUGGAAAUAGACCUACAGCUAAAUCCAGCACUAAGGGGAAAUUAGAACCUGUGGACAAUAAAACUAGUUCCAAGAAAGGAAGCAAGAGUGAAUCAAAAGAAAGGACUAGGCACAGAUCUGACAAAAAGAAAAGCAAGGCAGGAAUUGAUGGAAUCAAAGAGAAAACAACAAGAAGCAAGUCAAAAGAGAGGAGAAAAUCCAAAAGUCCUUAUAAAAGAAGUAAGUCUCAAGAUCAGACAAGGAAAUCAAGAUCUCCGAUGCUUAAAAGGAGAUCUCAGGAGAAAAAUAGAAAGUCUAAAUCUCCCCCAGAGGAUAGGAAUAAGGCAGAUGAUAAAAGUAAAUCAAGAGAUCGCAGAAAGUCUCCAGUUGUAAAUGAAAGCAAAACUCGAGAUCGUGGCAGAAAAUCCAGAUCUCCAAUAGAACUAAGAAGCAAGUCCAAAGAUAGACGAUCACGGUCCAAAGAUAGAAAAUCUAGGAGAACAGAGACUGACAAAGAAAAAAAGCCAAUUAAAUCUCCUUCUAAAGAUGCUUCUUCAGGGAAAGAAAACAGGUCCCCCAGAAGACCUGGCCGGAGCCCAAAAGGAAAAAGCUUAUCUCCAAAACAACGUGAAAAGUCAAGAAGAAGCCGAUCCCCUCUCUUUAAUGAUCGUAGAUCUAAACAGAGUAAAUCCCCCUCUCGAACCCAGUCUCCAGGCAGAAGAGCAAGGAGUAGAUCUGCAGAAAGGAAAAGAAGAGAAUCAGAUCGGAGGCGUCUAUCUUCACCGAGAACACGGACAAGAGAUGAUAUUCUCUCUAGACGUGAAAGAUCAAAAGAUGUCAGCCCACCUAGUAGAUGGUCCCCAUCCAGAAGAAGGUCUCGGUCACCCAUUAGAAGGAGGUCUCGUUCACCCCUUCGACGGAGCCGAUCUCCAAGAAGGCGGAGUAGGUCUCCUCGAAGGAGAGAUAGAGGCAGAAGAAGUAGAUCUCGUCUUCGAAGGAGAUCCAGGUCACGAGGUGGCCAUAGACGUAGGAGUAGAAGCAAAGCUAAAGAAGACAAAUUUAAAGGUAGUCUUUCUGAGGGUAUGAAGGCUGAGCAGGAGUCCUCGUCAGAUGAAAAUCUUGAAGACUUUGAUUUGGAAGAAGAGGAUGAAGAAGCAGAAAUAAGACAAAGACGGUUACAGCGGCAAGCAAUUGUUCAGAAAUACAAAGGCCAGACAGAAGACAGUAAUAUGUCUGUACCAUCUGAACCAAGCAGUCCUCAAAGUAGUACACGUAGUCGCUCAAAUUCACCAGAUGACAUCCUAGAAAGAGUAGCUGCUGAUGUUAAAGAGUAUGAGCGGGAAAAUGUUGACACAUUUGAGGCAUCAGUAAAAGCCAAGCACAACCUAAUGACAGUUGAGCAGAACAACGGUUCAGCUCAGAAGAAGCUGCUAGCUCCUGAUAUGUUCACAGAAUCAGAUGAUAUGUUUGCUGCAUACUUUGAUAGUGCUCGUCUAAGGGCUGCUGGGUUUGGAAAAGAUUUUAAGGAAAACCCCAAUCUCAGGGAUAACUGGACUGAUGCAGAAGGCUAUUAUCGUGUUAACAUAGGCGAAGUUCUAGAUAAACGUUACAAUGUCUAUGGUUAUACGGGCCAGGGAGUCUUUAGUAACGUAGUGCGAGCCAGGGAUAUGGCAAGAGCAAACCAAGAAGUAGCUGUUAAAAUCAUCAGGAACAACGAACUUAUGCAAAAAACUGGCCUAAAAGAACUGGAAUUUUUGAAGAAGCUCAAUGAUGCAGAUCCUGAUGACAAGUUUCAUUGUCUACGAUUAUUCAGGCAUUUCUACCACAAACAGCAUCUCUGUCUCGUAUUUGAGCCACUCAGUAUGAAUUUACGAGAAGUGUUGAAAAAGUAUGGGAAAGAUGUUGGUCUCCAUAUUAAAGCUGUGCGUUCCUACAGCCAGCAGUUGUUCUUGGCAUUAAAACUUCUUAAAAGAUGCAAUAUCCUACAUGCAGACAUUAAACCAGAUAAUAUUUUGGUGAAUGAGUCUAAAACGAUAUUAAAGCUUUGUGAUUUUGGAUCAGCUUCACAUGUUGCAGAUAACGAUAUCACACCGUAUCUCGUUAGUAGAUUUUAUCGAGCUCCUGAAAUCAUUAUAGGAAAAAUCUAUGACUAUGGUAUAGAUAUGUGGUCUGUAGGCUGCACAUUAUAUGAACUUUAUACAGGAAAAAUACUCUUUCCUGGCAAAACCAAUAACCAUAUGCUGAAACUAGCCAUGGAUCUCAAAGGAAAGAUGCCCAACAAGAUGAUUCGAAAAGGCGUGUUCAAAGAUCAGCACUUUGAUCAAAAUCUCAACUUUAUGUAUAUAGAAGUAGAUAAAGUGACAGAAAGGGAGAAAGUUACUGUUAUGAGCACCAUUAAUCCAACCAAGGACCUGUUAGCAGACUUGAUUGGGUGCCAACGACUCCCUGAAGACCAGCGUAAAAAAGUACACCAGCUAAAGGACUUGUUGGACCAGAUUCUAAUGUUAGACCCGGCUAAACGGAUUAGCAUCAACCAGGCUCUUCAGCAUGCCUUCAUCCAGGAAAAAAUUUAAACCAGAUGAAGAAGUUCAAAGGGUUUGAGUAAUUAAGAUACAAAGACUGAAGAAAUUUCACAGCAGUUAUUAAUGUAUAUAAACAUAAAUAUUUCCCCUGCAAAGUUGAGGAAGAAAUGAUACAUUUGAAUUAACAUCAAGGCUGAUAUUUCUUUUAGAAAUGUUAGAGUAAUUCUGUUUUGUGUCUUAUGUGAAAAUUUUCACUGUAGAACUGUUCUAAUUGCCAAGACUGCACAGAAGUACAAUGCUAAUGUAUAUCGUUGCAGUUCGUAUAUAUUAUAAAAAGAAAAAGCAUCUGUUAUAAAAAGAGCAGUAAUACUGGGUGGUUGAUUUGUUUUUAGCAGACUUGGCUUCAUUUUUGUCUUUAAAAAAUGGCCAGCAUAAAUGCUGUUUAUAUUCACAUUUUCCUAGGUGUGUGUGUGCAGGCCACAGCAGCAUGCCCUUGGUGUAGUCAGUGCCGAAGGGGGUCUGUUCCUUCUUGAGCCUGCCUGCAGGGAUGGUCUCCUCUUUUAAAGCAGGUUGUGUACAACUUUCAGUACACUGAAGGUAAGCUAACCCAUCAACAUCACCGGUGUUUAAGCUGUUAUUUUACUGGAACAACUGACAAAUGAGAGACAAUAGCAUUGUGGCAGAAUUCCCUGCAUGUUUGAUAAAUGAUCUUGUUUUAUUUUCUGGCAUUACAACCGUGGCAUAGUUACAACUUCUGUUCUGUUCAUCACAUUUAAAAUUUUGAGAGCGCGCACUUGAUGGAUAGAGCGCCUUCAGUGUACUGUUUCUUAUUACUUUAAUUUUUUUAAUCAACUUGCUAUAGACUUUGUAUACAUUUUGUUAAAUACAGUUCACUAUGACAUAGAACCAAUACUUUCAGAAGAGUUUUCAUUUAGUAAUUACAUAUGUUGGGAUCUCAUUUGAAAGACCUUAUAUCUAAAGGAUAGAUAGACAACAUAAUGAAAUUUUUAACUAUUUGUAUGUCAUUUUGAAAGUGUACUGCUUUAUGCUAAAAGUGUUUCAUUUGUUCAUUGUUUUCAUUAUUUGUGAUCAUGUUGUCUUUCAAUACAGGCAUAAACCUUCCACUCUUGAACAAAGCAGCUGCUUUUUAAAAGCGAGAAAAAGGAAAGCGAGUCACAGGCCACUCAACGCCUACUCCAUGGGUCUGAUUUGCUGAGACACCAACUUCACCUUCCUAACAAGGUGCAGCUCAAAAGAAGAUGACGACUACCAGAAGACAUGAACAAAGGGUAAGUGGCAUUAUACCUCUGAAGAACCUUUAUAUAUAUCGAUCCAUACACAGAAGGCAAACCAGUUUGUGAGAUUACUGGAGAAAGAGCAGUCUUCUACAGUAUGUGUCAAAUUGUAACUCGGAGUAGAAAAUGUUGGGAAGUGGCAAUUGCUUGAAGCUAAUAAAAGAAGCUUAAAACUUA
RNA transcript from Dromaius novaehollandiae (emu), 4552 nucleotides. It is a transcript of the gene named pre-mRNA processing factor kinase PRP4K, with no coding region annotated. Lineage: Eukaryota; Metazoa; Chordata; Aves; Casuariiformes; Dromaiidae. The record is from RefSeq and is a predicted model, not a curated record. The transcript is spliced from 18 exons.